GUCCACGCCCUAAACGAUGACGACUAGUUGUUGGAGGAGUUAAAUCCUUUAGUAACGCAGCUAACGCGCGAAGUCGUCCGCCUGGGGAGUACGGUCGCAAGAUUAAAACUCAAAGGAAUUGACGGGGGCCCGCACAAGCGGUGGAUGAUGUGGUUUAAUUCGAUGCAACGCGAAAAACCUUACCUACCCUUGACAUGCCAGGAAUCCCGCAGAAAUGUGGGAGUGCCCGAAAGGGAACCUGGACACAGGUGCUGCAUGGCUGUCGU
This 266-nucleotide ribosomal RNA is filed under the name uncultured bacterium. RNAcentral describes it as "partial 16S ribosomal RNA". It matches the Rfam family "Bacterial small subunit ribosomal RNA", at positions 793 to 1055 of the family's 1533-position model. The record is from RNAcentral.